CCUACGGGUGGCAGCAGUGGGGAAUAUUGCACAAUGGGGGGAACCCUGAUGCAGCGACGCCGCGUGGGUGAAGGAGUACUUCGGUACGUAAAGCCCUAUCAGCAGGAAAGAAAAUGACGGUACCUGACUAAGAAGCCCCGGCUAACUACGUGCCAGAAGCCUCGGUAAUACGUAGGGGGAAAGCGUUAUCAGGAUUUACUGGGGGUAAAGGGAGCGUAGACGGCCGUGCAAGUCCGGAGUGAAAGCCCGGGGCUCAACCCUGGGACUUCUCUGGAAACUGCAAAGCUGAAGUGCGGGAGGGGCAGGCGGAAUUCCUGGUUGAGCGGUGAAAUGCGUAGGUAUCAGGAGGAACACCGGCGGCGAAGGCGGCCUGCUGGACCGUAACUGACACUGAGGCUCGAAAGUGUGGGUAUCAAACAGGAUUAGAUACCCUAGUAGUC
Molecule: ribosomal RNA, 440 nt
Filed under: uncultured bacterium
Lineage: Bacteria
Description: partial 16S ribosomal RNA
Rfam family: Bacterial small subunit ribosomal RNA
Source: RNAcentral